GGGAAACCAGCUGCUACAUCACCAUCAGCCUUGUGACCAUGCCACAUGGUAAGGAGCUGAAAUCUCAGCAGCCACAUGAGUGAGCUCGGCAGCGGAUCCUUUAGGCCCCGUCAUGCAAUCCUGGAUUGCAGCCCUGGACAUCCACUUAACUAGCAAGACUGAGCCAGAACCACCCAGAUGAGCUGCUCCUGGAUUCCCAACUCUCAAAAACUGUGAGAGAUGUUCAACGGUGGUUGUUUGAAACUGCUGAGUCUCAGUAUAAUUUGUUACACAGCACUAGCUAACUCAUACACGUCACGUUUCUGCAGCAGAAUACCUUGGACCUGGGGAGAGCUGGAGAUAAUUACUCAGUACCACCCAGUACAUGGGAAAGUGAUUACUGACAGGCUCAGAAAUGUUAAGAAGAUGCUUAAAAGAAAUGGGCUCAUGAGCCUUCUUUGCUGAAGUAUUAAUUACUAGAUCUGAAUGUUUUGCUUUUCUGUGAUGGAAAACGUGAAGAAAAUAGGGCUUUUUUUUUUCUUUUGAAGAGAUGGGAUUUCCCUCUGUCGCUUAGGCUUAACUGCAGUGAUUCAGUCAUAGCUCACGGCAGCCUCAAACUCCUGGACUCAAGCAAAUGACUGAUAUUUUUUGAGCACCAGCAGUAACGAUAGUUACUAUUCACUGUUUUCUCCCUGCCAGGUGUUCCACAGACAUCCUACAUGCAUGACAUUGAUUCACUCUUACAUUUGACAGGAUUGCAGGAGCUCCUCAGACAAGAUCUGUGGCAACAGUAACAAUAAAAGCAUCCCAUGCGGACCAAACUCCUGCUGCAGAACCUGGCCGUCCACUCCACCCACGUGCCUUAGCAAAGUGCCCUUGGUGAGGCUGAGGGACUAGGCAGCCAGGACUCCUGAGGGGACCUUAUCAGAGAGGGAAGCCACCUCGGACUGAGUGGUGAGUGCUGCUCUAGGACUGCCCUAAAACUGGAUUUGAACAAAAGACCACAUGCCGUAUGACUCCAUUGGAAUGAAACAUCCAGAACAGGCAAAGCCACAGAGGCAGGAAGCAGGUGAGUGGUUGCCAGGGGCUGGGAGAGUGGGGCCAGGAAGUGGCUGCUCAGGGAAUGGGCUUCCUUUUGGGGUGAUGAAAAUGUUCUAUAACUAGAGGGUGGCAAUGGUGGCAUAGCUUUAUAAAUGGGCUAAAUGCUACAGAAUUCUACAUUUUGAAAAUAGUUAAAAUGAUACAUUUUCUUUUGAGACAGGGUCUUACUGUGUCUGGCAGUCUGGACUGAGUGUGGCUCACUGCAGACUCAACCUCUCUGGGCGUAGGUGAUUCUCCUGCCUCAGCCUCCCAAGUAGCUGGGACAACAAGUGUGCGCCACUACAUCCCAACUAUUUUUUUUUUUUUUGGUAGAGAUGGGGCUUCUGUGUGUUGCCCAGGUUGUUUUUUUUUUGUUUUUUUUGAGAUGGAGUUUCGCUGUUAUAGCCCAGGCUGGAGUGCAAUAGCGUGAUCUCGGCUCACUGUAACCUUGUCCUCCCGGGUUCAAGCAAUUCUCCUGCCUCAGCCUCCCAAGUAGCUGGGAUUAUAGCCAUGCAUCACCACAUCCAGCUA
This 1590-nucleotide long non-coding RNA is filed under the name Homo sapiens (human). RNAcentral's name for it is "HSALNT0235077". The record is from RNAcentral. Lineage: Eukaryota; Metazoa; Chordata; Mammalia; Primates; Hominidae.